This 1319-nucleotide long non-coding RNA is filed under the name Homo sapiens (human). RNAcentral describes it as "HSALNT0362761". Lineage: Eukaryota; Metazoa; Chordata; Mammalia; Primates; Hominidae. The record is from RNAcentral.
ACAGGCGAGGGCGUUCGGCGACGUUACUGGGGCUGCACGGUGCUUGUAGCUGGGCAGUCUUAUCAUCAGAGUGGAGCCUGGUAACCACGACCUCCCCGCCAGGUCCUGUGUGUUGCUAGCUGGAGAAGGGUAGUUGAAAACUCAGACCAAGCACAGUGUUUAUAUCGGUCAAAACUGGAAAACUAUGUCCGGGCGCAGCCGAGGCUGGAGGAUCCCUUCAGGCCAAGAGCAACCUAGCAAUAUGGCGCGACCGGAUCUCUGUAGUCCUACCUCAACCCCCAGCUACUUGAACCCCAAGGUUGAAGGCUCCAGUGAGCUAUGAUCCCACCACAGCAUUGCAGCCUGCCAGACUGAGACAUGAACUUAUGAAUUCAACACAUGAAGACUUACAACUUGAUAAACCAGCUUCAGGAGGCUGGAGUGCAAUGGUGCGAUCUGGGCUCACUGCAACCUCUACCUCCUGGGUUCAAGCGAUUCUCCUGUGUCAGCCUCCUGAAUAGCUGGGAUCACAGGUUCCUGAAAGGGAGAGAGGAAAUCUUCGAUUUUUCAUGGCUGUGAACCACUGCAAGUAUUGAAGAAAUAUUUACUACUUCCAGCCUCAUAAUCCUGCAGUCAUUUGGCACCUCUGAAGCCUUGGGGAGCACUGAAGCCAAGGCUGCACCGUACCAAAAAUUUGAAACAUGUGAAUGAGCUGAAUGUGGAAGGACUACCGGAAAACACUCCUUUCAGAAUCCCCUCAUUGCAUGAAAUCCCAAGGCUCGAAAACAUCUUUCAAGUGAGCAAUUGAAUUAAGUUUGUUAUUAAGAGCUUGGUGAAAGGUAGAAGUUACACGUGAGAAGGCGGUGGAGCCAGGCACAUGAUGGAGCCUCGAAGAGUGGAAGGUGGCACCUGGCUCUGUGAGGAGGGUGUGAAGUCCUCCAUGGGAGGAAGAGAUGCCAGCAAAGGAGUAACUCCAGUUAGCCUCCAUUGUCUCCAAGCCGGCUUUUGUCCUCAUCCACAACGCCUCCACACAAGCUCUGAACACCUGUCCAUUGCUAACUUGAGACUGCCAUGCUGUUAGGAAGUUCAAGUUCACCACAUGGAGAUGAAAUAAGAUAUCAUGAUAAACAUCCCCAGCUGAUCCCAGCCUCCAGUGAUCCAUCAACUACAUAUAUGAUCCUAAGUCACAUGUGUGACCCCGAGCAAGAUCAGCAGAACAAUCACUCAGCCAACCCACAGAACCCUGAAAAAAUAUAAAUCAUUAUAGUUUAAACCACAAGUUUUGGGUAGCUUGUUAUGCUGCUAUUGAUAAUUAAAACAAACUGGAAUAUUUUCAUCUA